UGCAAGUCGAACGAGCUUCCGUUGAAUGACGUGCUUGCACUGAUUUCAACAAUGAAGCGAGUGGCGAACUGGUGAGUAACACGUGGGAAAUCUGCCCAGAAGCAGGGGAUAACACUUGGAAACAGGUGCUAAUACCGUAUAACAACAAAAUCCGCAUGGAUUUUGUUUGAAAGGUGGCUUCGGCUAUCACUUCUGGAUGAUCCCGCGGCGUAUUAGUUAGUUGGUGAGGUAAAGGCCCACCAAGACGAUGAUACGUAGCCGACCUGAGAGGGUAAUCGGCCACAUUGGGACUGAGACACGGCCCAAACUCCUACGGGAGGCAGCAGUAGGGAAUCUUCCACAAUGGACGAAAGUCUGAUGGAGCAAUGCCGCGUGAGUGAAGAAGGGUUUCGGCUCGUAAAACUCUGUUGUUAAAGAAGAACACCUUUGAGAGUAACUGUUCAAGGGUUGACGGUAUUUAACCAGAAAGCCACGGCUAACUACGUGCCAGCAGCCGCGGUAAUACGUAGGUGGCAAGCGUUGUCCGGAUUUAUUGGGCGUAAAGCGAGCGCAGGCGGUUUUUUAAGUCUGAUGUGAAAGCCUUCGGCUUAACCGGAGAAGUGCAUCGGAAACUGGGAGACUUGAGUGCAGAAGAGGACAGUGGAACUCCAUGUGUAGCGGUGGAAUGCGUAGAUAUAUGGAAGAACACCAGUGGCGAAGGCGGCUGUCUAGUCUGUAACUGACGCUGAGG
This 730-nucleotide ribosomal RNA is filed under the name Levilactobacillus brevis. RNAcentral's name for it is "bacterial SSU rRNA". It matches the Rfam family "Bacterial small subunit ribosomal RNA", at positions 56 to 751 of the family's 1533-position model. Lineage: Bacteria; Bacillati; Bacillota; Bacilli; Lactobacillales; Lactobacillaceae. The record is from RNAcentral.